GUAGCGAACGGGGCUCCCAAAGACACCUGGCUCUGAUCUCCCAGCAAAGGAAGAGAGCCAGGGACUCCCAGAACUGGAUCCUACGUCUGUCAAAGUGGGGCUGGAAAGAAUGGGGGGAGCAGCCACCACUCCAGCUACACCAGCACUGUCAUACACCCACUUGAUCUUCUUGAUGAGAGUUUUCUCCACCAGCAAAAUGGGAACUUGGCCCUCCAAGAUGAGUACUGCAACUGGUGGCUGUAGGGCUGGGCAGGGCCAGGCCCUUGGGCAGUUUUCUUUGGCCAGCUCAGCUUAUUGAAAGGUCACGGCCCAGGAUUUUACUCCUGGCUCUGUUUGUGACUAGCAGGCUAGCAGGCUUUGGAGGCUAUGACCCUGUUCUCCUUGGAGGCUGUGACCCUGUUCUGUAAGGCUGAGCACUGAUACUCAUCUGUCUUACAAAUGCCUCCCAAGUGCCAAAGGGAGCUUUUUUAGUUUCCCACAAGGGGACAACCUUCAUAGAGCUGGUUGGUUCAGUCCCGGAAGCAGGAGGAAAACAGGAAACACGAUCGAUAAACACAUAGGAUGGGUGAGAAGACUGGUGUGGUAUGGGCUGGUCUGCGUAAAGCACAGCAAGAGAAUGUUUGGGAAAGAGCAGGGCUGCCAUACAUACUGUUCACAGUACCUUCUGUCCUGUUUAAGGGGUAGAUUUUUGGACCUCGGAGUUUAUUGAACCAACUUGUGCUUGCGUCUGAAUCGACGCAGCUAGGAGAGCCAUGGAGACAAUCCCUGACAUCCGGGAGUUCCCAGUCCAAUGUGUAAAGAAUUGCCAUCGGGACGGGUUGUGAUCACUGGAGAAGAGGAACUUGGAGAAGCCAAAUCAGUAAAGGCAGGAAUGUCAGGAUGACACUUACACAGCAUGGGAAGACUUUAAAUAAGCUUAGUCACACUGAUCUCUCCACGCUUUCAACAUUCCCAGCGCAAAGCUACCCCAGGGCCUUUCCAUUUGCUCUUGUUUCCAUCUGAGUUAGUCAGGUCUUAGUGUGGAGAUUCCUUCUCAUACUCUUGCAUCUAAAAAUUUGCGCCCCCGACCCCGUUCUCCAUCAGAUCACUGACCUAACUGACUAAUUCACUAAUUAAUUUCAUCUCUCCUUGAAUGGCAGUUGAGCUCCAGAAGAGCAAAAGCAUUGUCUACCCCAUCCACCUCUGUAUCUCUGGCACCUGCAACUCACUAGACACAUACUGAUACACAAAAUGAGUGAAUGGGUGAGUAAAGGUAUAGCCGAUACAUGGGGACUUUUAGAGAAUUUUUACAUACAGGGCCAGCAACACAGGUAUCCUGUGGGGAGGAUGCAGAGAGGAGAGGAAGGGAAACCCAGAGGGUGCUAGCUUCACCUUGACCUCUUGGGGACUGAUGACAGGAAACAGGAGAUUAGGCAAAGGGUGGACCUGAGGUUUCAGGAUGAGAACUGGAGACUACAGGUUCCCUGUCAUCAAGGGUGAUCAUCUCUGGUCCUCUGGGACAAGUCUGUGAGGAAGGAACACAUGUAAUCCAAGGUUCAAGAGACCUGUCUGAGGUCCCACAUGUGGGAGGUAUCAGAGCUGAAAGGGAAAUCCAGAUCUCCUGGUCCCCAUUUUCUGGUCUCUCUACCUAUGAUGGAUAAAGACACCUGGAUCCCUCCAGCUGACCUGACAUGCUCUCCUCUGCUCCAUGCCUGUCUAGCUGGUCAUUAAACCCUGAUACUUUCAUUCCUGAAUGCCUAUGAAGUCCUGCCAAUCCUUCUAUAGCCCCAGAGGAUUCCCAUUACCCCUUCCUGCUCACUUAUUUCCCUGUCUUUCUAGCCACACAAUCAUACCCAGCUGCCAGAGAAAUUCUUGAAACUCAAGUCCAGUGCCUCACCUGAAAUCCCACUGAGACAUACCAGUAUGACCAAAUGAACCAUAGAUUUAAAAUAAUCUCAUUUUUUCUUUUCUGCCACUCGGUAUCUAUCCACCUACUUUUCUACAAUGAGCAUUUGAUACUUGGGCAAUCAGAAAAGGAUAACUCACAAUUUCAAAAGGUCCUCCUGUCUCUUCAAGGUGAUGGUCAAACAGCAUCAGUGGCCCAAACAAAAUUCUACUUGUCCAUUUAACCAUGCUUUUGGUCAUUAAUUCUCUCCUUACUUUCCCCAAGCCUUUUCUCCUCCCUCAAAAGAUGCUUGCUAGACCUGGAGAGAUUGCUCAGCGGUUAUAAGUACUUGCUGCUCUUGAAGAGAACUUGGAUUCGGUUCCCAGCACCCCACACAGCAGCUCACAACUAUCUGCAACUGCCAUUCCCUCUUCCAGCUUCCACAGGUACCAGGUUAUGCUCAGCUUCACGAAGUAAUGAUACACUGUUCUCUGAGUGAUGGAGCCACCUACAGCUCUCUCCAGCAGCCUCAGUUCUUCCCUUGCUGACAUCUGGGCUGUUGACUCUUGGUGACCAGAGGAUGAGAUGGGGCUCGUGAAGUAUGCUGGCUGCUCAUCUUUCUGUGUUACGUGCAAGCAUCUUUAUUUGGUUGUGCUUUACUCAUGACUUGAUAGCAAGUAUUGGUUUUACUAUCA
Molecule: non-coding RNA, 2559 nt
Organism: Peromyscus maniculatus bairdii (prairie deer mouse)
Lineage: Eukaryota; Metazoa; Chordata; Mammalia; Rodentia; Cricetidae
Source: RefSeq, a predicted model, not a curated record